GACACAGCGAAGAUGGCGUCGCCCGGCUGCCUGUGGCUCUUGGCUGUGGCUCUCCUGCCAUGGACCUGCGCUUCUCGGGCGCUGCAGCAUCUGGACCCGCCGGCGCCGCUGCCGUUGGUGAUCUGGCAUGGGAUGGGAGACAGCUGUUGCAAUCCCUUAAGCAUGGGUGCUGUUAAAAAAAUGGUGGAGAAGAAAAUACCUGGAAUUUACGUCUUAUCUUUAGAGAUUGGGAAGACCCUGAUGGAGGUAAGGCGCUUCACAGCUGUUCCUUUGAAGGGUUGCUGACUGAUUUCAUAGCAUAUACUGUUAAAAUGCUUUGCCUUGUGUUUUCAGCAGCAGAUCAUACAAUGAUACUUUCACCCUUGAGUGGCUCAUGUGAGGAUACCAACCUAAAUGAGUUUACCUCUUAGAGAAGAUGUCAGUGGUUGUUUUCAGUCCCAUCCUCUCACUUCUCUCUGGCUUCUUUUUUAGGACGUGGAGAACAGCUUCUUCUUGAAUGUCAAUUCCCAAGUAACAACGGUGUGUCAGACACUUGCUAAGGAUCCUAAAUUGCAGCAAGGCUACAAUGCUAUGGGAUUCUCCCAGGGAGGCCAAUUUCUGAGGGCAGUGGCUCAGAGAUGCCCUUCACCUCCCAUGAUCAAUCUGAUCUCGGUUGGGGGACAACAUCAAGGUGUUUUUGGACUCCCUCGAUGCCCAGGAGAGAGCUCUCACAUCUGUGACUUCAUCCGAAAAACACUGAAUGCUGGGGCGUACUCCAAAGUUGUUCAGGAACGCCUCGUGCAAGCUGAAUACUGGCAUGACCCCAUAAAGGAGGAUGUGUAUCGCAACCACAGCAUCUUCUUGGCAGAUAUAAAUCAGGAGCGGGGUAUCAAUGAGUCCUACAAGAAAAACCUGAUGGCCCUGAAGAAGUUUGUGAUGGUGAAAUUCCUCAAUGAUUCCAUUGUGGACCCUGUAGAUUCGGAGUGGUUUGGAUUCUACAGAAGUGGCCAAGCCAAGGAAACCAUUCCCUUACAGGAGACCUCCCUGUACACACAGGACCGCCUGGGGCUAAAGGAAAUGGACAAUGCAGGACAGCUAGUGUUUCUGGCUACAGAAGGGGACCAUCUUCAGUUGUCUGAAGAAUGGUUUUAUGCCCACAUCAUACCAUUCCUUGGAUGAAACCCGUACAGUUCACAAUAGAGCUCAGGGAGCCCCUAAUUCUUCCAAACCACAUGGGAGACAGUUUCCUUCAUGCCCAAGCCUGAGCUCAGAUCCAGCUUGCAACUAAUCCUUCUAUCAUCUAACAUGCCCUACUUGGAAAGAUCUAAGAUCUGAAUCUUAUCCUUUGCCAUCUUCUGUUACCAUAUGGUGUUGAAUGCAAGUUUAAUUACCAUGGAGAUUGUUUUACAAACUUCUGAUGUGGUCAAUUUCAGUUUUAGAAAAGGGAGUCUGUUCCAGAUCAGUGCCAGAACUGUGCCCAGGCCCAAAGGAGACAACUAACUAAAGCAGUGAGAUAGAUUCUAAGGGCAAACGUUUUUCCAAGUCUUGCCAUAUUUCAAGCAAAGAGGUGCCCAGGCCUGAGGUACUCACAUAAAUGCUUUGUUUUGCUGGUGAUUUAACCAGUGCUUGGAAAAAUCUUGCUUGGCUAUUUCUGCAUAAUUUCUUAAGGCUGCCUUCCUCUCUGAGUACGUUGCCCUCUGUGCUAUCAUCUUAUCAAUUAUUAGACAAAUCCCACUGGCCUACAGUCUUGCUUCUGCAGCACCCACUUUGUCUCCUCAGGUAGUGAUGAAUUAGUUGCUGUCACAAAAGAAGGGAAGUAGCACCCAAAUUAAGUUGCUUAAGAGAGGAAAUGUACAUCUUGUAUAACUUAGGGAGCGAAGAAAAUGUAGGCACGAAAGUGAAAAGUGAGGCAGCUAGUUCUUCCUAUACCAUUCUCGACCAACCUGCCCUUUCUUAAUAUGACUAGUGGUCUUGAUGCUAGAGUCAACUUACUCUGUUGCUGGCUUUAGCAGAGAAUAGGAGGAACCAUAUGAAAAAGAUCAGGCUUUCUGACUUCCAUCCCCAAAACACAUUUACCAGCAUACUCCAAACUGUUUCUGAUGUGUUCCAUGAGAAAAGGAUUGUUUGCUCAAAAAGUUUGGAAGAUACUACACACUCCCUUUCUCCUUCUGGAGAUCAACCCACAUUAGAGUGUCUAAGGACUCUUGAGAAUUCCUGUUACAGUAAACAAAACUAACGUAAUCUACCAUUUCCUACACUAUUUGAGCAUGGAAAUCAUAGUCCCCACUCUGUGAAAACUUAACGCUUUUUGGAAGACAUUUCUGUAGCAUGUCAGUUUGGAGAAAUGAUGAGCUACGCCUUGAUGAAAGAACCGUGUUGGUGCUGCUAAGUUUAGCCAUUAUGGUUUUUCCUUUCUCUCUCUUAAGCCUUAUUCUUCAACUAAAAGAUGAGGAUUAAGAGCAAGAAGUUGGGGGGGGAUGUGAAAAUAAUUUUAUGAGGU
This 2479-nucleotide small RNA is filed under the name Pan troglodytes (chimpanzee). Its description in RNAcentral is "retained intron". Lineage: Eukaryota; Metazoa; Chordata; Mammalia; Primates; Hominidae. The record is from RNAcentral.